UACAGAGGUCUCAAGCGUUGUUCGGAUUCAUUGGGCGUAAAGGGUGCGUAGGCGGCGCGGUAAGUCGGGUGUGAAAUCCCGGAGCUUAACUCCGAAACUGCAUUCGAUACUGCCGUGCUUGAGGACUGGAGAGGAGACUGGAAUUUACGGUGUAGCGGUGAAAUGCGUAGAUAUCGUAAGGAAGACCAGUGGCGAAGGCGGGUCUCUGGGCCGUAACUGACGCUGAGGAGCGAAAGCGUGGGGAGCGAACAGG
This 253-nucleotide ribosomal RNA is filed under the name uncultured bacterium. RNAcentral describes it as "partial 16S ribosomal RNA". It matches the Rfam family "Bacterial small subunit ribosomal RNA", at positions 524 to 776 of the family's 1533-position model. The record is from RNAcentral.